GCGGGGUAGUCCCUGGCUGUUACCAGGGCAACUGAAAGCGAUGGACGGUUAUCCGUGCUUUGGAGCCGUUAGCGGGAGAGGUUGAGAUGCUCAGACUUUGUUUGGGAUGAGAGAAAGGGGCAUCGGAGUCCUCCUAAGAGAAGGAGAUUGUCCUGUCGCGCCCCUUGUCGUGCCUUGAGUCUUCCGGCAAAAUGAAGAGUGGCCCAGGGGCUCCUCACUGUUGAUUCCCCGUGUCCUUUUCCAGUGUUCUGCCUCCUUUUAGAAAAUCAACAAAGAAGGCAUUGGAGACCUUAAAUGAAAACCUGUUUGCAGUGAGUUGAAGAGUGAGAGAAAUGAAGUGGACACAGCAUGUGAAGACAAUUCUUUCAAGAAGUUUGGCUGUAAAGGAAAAGAGAUUCAGAAAGGUGCCUGUGGAGCAGACAGUGGCCACCUUUGCUGCCACAUGGUGGUUUGUCUAAAAUUGAAGCUAAAGACGCCAAACUGGAAGACAGAGACAAAGACCUGAUGACGUUGUUUGAACCCAGGAAUCCAGACAUGCCAAAGGCUAGCUUUACCAUUGUACUUUUCACUGAAAUGAGCCAAUAAACUCUCCUCAUGUUUAA
This is a long non-coding RNA of Choloepus didactylus (southern two-toed sloth), 602 nucleotides long. RefSeq lists it as uncharacterized. The transcript is spliced from 3 exons. Lineage: Eukaryota; Metazoa; Chordata; Mammalia; Pilosa; Megalonychidae. The record is from RefSeq and is a predicted model, not a curated record.